GGAUGUGAGGGUGAUCUGGCUGCGACAUCUGUCACCCCACUCUUCACCCCGGUUGAUUCAGCUUAUCUGGCUGGCUAGGAGGGUGUCCCCUUCCUCCCUCAAUGCUCCAUGUGCGUCCCUCCCGAAGCUGUGCGCUCAGUCGGUCGAAGAGGACGACCACCCCUGAUAGAGAGGACCGUUCCUCGGUCAAGGGUAUACGAGUAGCUGCGCUCCCCUGCUAGAACCUCCAAACAAGCUCUCAAGAAAAAGUAGAAAUGGCUGAUAAAUACAUAAAAAAAUGUUUAACAUCACUAGCCAUUAG
This 301-nucleotide small nuclear RNA is filed under the name Chinchilla lanigera (long-tailed chinchilla). RNAcentral describes it as "7SK RNA (ENSCLAG00000022139.1)". It matches the Rfam family "7SK RNA". From Rfam's summary of the family: 7SK was discovered as an abundant small nuclear RNA in the mid-70s but a possible function has only recently been suggested. Two independent studies have found that 7SK RNA binds the CDK9/cyclin T complex (known as elongation factor P-TEFb). The record is from Rfam by way of RNAcentral. Lineage: Eukaryota; Metazoa; Chordata; Mammalia; Rodentia; Chinchillidae.